AACGAACGCUGGCGGCAUGCCUAACACAUGCAAGUCGAACGAGACCUUCGGGUCUUGUGGCGCACGGGUGCGUAACGCGUGGGAACCUGCCCUUAGGUUCGGAAUCACUCCCCGAAAGGGGUGCUAAUACCGGAUAAUGUCUUCGGACCAAAGAUUUAUCGCCUUUGGAUGGGCCCGCGUUGGAUUAGCUAGUUGGUAGGGUAAAAGCCUACCAAGGCGACGAUCCAUAGCUGGUCUGAGAGGAUGACCAGCCACACUGGGACUGAGACACGGCCCAGACUCCUACGGGAGGCAGCAGUUGGGAAUAUUGGACAAUGGGCGAAAGCCUGAUCCAGCAAGGCCGUGUGAGUGAUGAAGGCCUUAGGGUUGUAAAGCUCUUUUACCCGGGAUGAUAAUGACAGUACCGGGAGAAUAAGCGCCGGCUAACUCCGUG
Molecule: ribosomal RNA, 433 nt
Filed under: uncultured bacterium
Lineage: Bacteria
Description: partial 16S ribosomal RNA
Rfam family: Bacterial small subunit ribosomal RNA
Source: RNAcentral